Molecule: long non-coding RNA, 615 nt
Filed under: Homo sapiens (human)
Lineage: Eukaryota; Metazoa; Chordata; Mammalia; Primates; Hominidae
Description: HSALNT0327773
Source: RNAcentral
CCCGAUGUUACAAGACCGUUAUAAAAAGUCUCAUUUUCACUGUUCUUCGUGCCUCUAAGUCCAUUCUUUGGGUUUGAACGGGUGAGUGUGUUUCUCACAACCUGAGGGCCCGUUCGGGAUCUCUGUGCCUACGUGGAGUGGGACUCCGGCUGAGAGAAGAGACAUGUCCCACCCGAUUUUUGUGCCCCACUCUGUCUGGGUGUCCUGGCUCCCCACAGAAGCCAUAGAUAAACCCGAGACUGUUAUUCAGGAGACGGUGGAGGUGACGCAGGGAGAAAAGCAGGCACUGCGGCAAACAGGCAACCUCGUGCACCAGCCAAGGUUGGGUAUUUCCUUCAGCCUAUUAAAGGAAUUGGGAACCUGUGGUACCUUCCUUUGAGUGUCACGGGAGUACCAUCUCUUUACCUUGGCAAGAGCAGAUCCUUCAUAUCUGUAGUUGAAUCACACACUCUCAGAUAUCUGAGCUUGAAUUCUACAGGGACACUUAUCUCAGCUUUUGAGUUUUAGGAGAAAUAGCCUGCAGACCAGAGAAUAAGGAAAAGUUGUUUCCUGCCAAAGAACAAGCAGUAUUGUGAAAUAUAAAAUUUUAUUGUUGCGGUGAAAGAAAAUUUCAGU